UCGAACCUUCAGCUGCUGGAGCCCCUGGCCACCGGGGCCCCGUAUUGACCUCAGAAUUGGCCGCGUCUGGGGCGGCUCGAGGUUCCUGGGCUCUGAGCAAGCGUCAGCCUGUGAGGUGGAAGGGCCCAGGGCACAGCCGGUCCCAUCUGCUCAACAGCGCCUGCGAAGAGCCCCAUGGCCAGCAGCACACUCAGCUCGGCUCUGGCCUGCAGGGGGAUGUGGGACAGGGAGGGGAUGCAGUGAAGGCAGCGGUGGAGCCCAGGACGGAGUUUCUGUCCCUGGGAGUCUGGGCACACAGUGGGUCGCAGGGGAGGAGGAGGCCCUGCUGUCCUGGCAUUGCUGUUGCUUCCACAACCUGAAGAUGGCACCCAACCCUGACCUCAGCCCUCCCUACCUGCAGCAGCUCGGUCUGGCCUCCCAGCCCCAGACCAUGUCUGAAGUCAUUGAGUCCACACGGUUCCACCGCCUCCUUGGAAACCCUUUUCAGAGACUCAGAGUUGAGAAGCUGAAGCUGGGACUCGAGCUCUGGGGACCAGCAGACCUGAGAUCAAGGACCAGCUCUUCUCCUUACUAGCUGAGGGGACUGAGCCCCAAUUCUCCCACCUUUAUAAUGGCGGAACCAGAAUAAAGAUAAAACCUCCUCCUGGGGUUGCAGUGAGGAUCUAAUGAGACACGAGGAGACGCCCCAGCACAGGGCGUGGCACUCACCCUGUGUUCAAUCAUAGCUGGCCCUGUUAUGACCGUUUUCAUCCCCUUUACCAUGGAUGGCCUCUCAUCUGGCCAUUGCAGGUGACAGGUGUGUCCAUGUCCCCUAGACAUCCUGGGCGUGCUCAGCUCUCCUGGCUUUCAGCCGUUUGGCAAAACACCCUCCAGCUGAUCUUGUAUUUACCACAAGUCAAUUGUGUUUGCCCCCGAGCCUUUUUCAUGCCAGCUGUUCUUGAUAUUAUGAAGGCACAGGUUAAUUAAAUAUCAUAUAAGCUAGCAAGUUUUCAAACUAGUUGGGUUUGUUUGUUUGUUUUCAGAGGUGGGGUCUUGCUCUGUCCCCCAGGCUGGAGUGCAGUGGCAUGAUCACAGCUCACUGCUGCUUCAAAUUUUGGUGCUUAAGUGAUCCUCCCACCUCGGCCUCCCAAGUAGCUGGGACCACAGGUGUGUGCCACCACAUUCUGCUAAUUUUUAUUUAUUUAUUUAUUUAUUUACUUACUUACUUACUUACCUACUUUGUAGAGACAGGGUCUCACCAUCUUGCCCAGGCUGGUCUCAAACUCCUGGGGUCAAGGGAUCCUCCUGCCUCGGCCUCCUAAAAUGCUGGGAUUAAAGGUGUGAGCCACCAUGCCCAGCCUCAAACUGUUUAAAGAUUCCUUUAUACUCUUAAAAAUCAUUGAAGAUCCCAAACAGCUUUUGUUUCAGUGGCUUGCAUUGAUUGAUAUUGACUAUCUUCAAAAUUAAAGAUGAGAGACUUUCAAAGCACAGAGACACACAAGCACGCAUUCCGUCGGCUGUCAGAGGCCAGGGCUGGGGGCUGGGGGCUCUGAAAAUCUUUAUUUGUACCUUCUGGAGAAAAUGAGAGCAUCAAGGGCAAACAACAUCUCAGUUUGACCGUGAAAAGAAUUUGGACUUUGGAUUCCCUGAAAGGGUCGCAAGUGGUCCCUGGGCCACUCUCGGAGAGCCACUGAGGGAAGCUGAUGAAAUAUUAAUGCAGAAAGGGAGCUGCUCCCUGAAUGCUAGGCUGGAAGCUUUGGAAAGUCCCAGCACAGAUGAGGGUAAUGAUUUGGGGAAAAUAAUCACACAAAUAAUGAAGGACUCUGCCUCGAGAUUGCCUUGCAAGCGCCUUCCAGUUCUCAUGUCCCUUUAGAAACACUGAAACCAGAAAUCAGUGCUGAUUCACUGCUCUGUGGUUUCUGCCACAGAGAUGACCCAGAGCUCCAAUCAGUGGGCUCAUGCUCAGAGAAAAGGUUUUGGCUCCAUACCAAAAGGCAGACAAAUAGAUGUGCUGUACUUCACAUAUUUGAAGUAAAAAUAAAAUGUUUAAGAAAUGUCUAUGUGGUUAAGUAGGACUUCCCCACCCAUCUAACUUGCCCAGCUAACGCUGCAAUUACGGAUGUUGCAAGAACGUUGACUCGACCCAGCCUUCCCCUGCUACGGUAAAUGUCCCUCACCCCUCCACCCUCAGGCUGGACACCAGCUCCAAGUCUAAUCCUUGUCUUUGACCAUUUGGGGCUUGACUUUGCCUUUGACCUUGCCUCCAUUGCCUGCCACAUCCUUCAGUUAGUGACAAGCACAAGAUGGGUCAGAUUUGGUGGGUUCCAACACUGGGUCCAGUACUAAGUGUGUGACCUUGGAGCAGUCACCUAACCUCCCUGAGCCCCAGCUUCCUUUUCUGUAAAAUGGGAAGUUACACAUAAGCAUACAUAUACCCCAGCUCUGUGGGUGCCGUCAGUAGUGAUGUCACCAUCCCAUUGGUACAGUGCCUUUGAGAUGGCCCUUCAGCCGUGCUUCCUACUCCCAGCCCCUGUGAUCACUCACUUGGACCAUAGAAGCCUCAGCCUUAGUCCUUCCAUUUCCAGGCACUUCUACCUGCUCCAAAUUAAUGACCUAAAUCCCUGCGCUAACCAAUAAUUCCUCUGCUCAGAAAAUGUCAGUGUGGGAAGCUCAAUACACCACUAGUUCAACCAAAGGCAUUUACCCUGAGACCCAAACCCUCUUUGACCUUGUGCCCACUUACCUGGGUGGCUUCACCUCCUACUGCUACAACAAUCGUGCCUGAGGACCAUUGCUGAGGUGACCUGCCCCCACCUCCAGGGUCCAGAUGCCAUGUGGAGGGUAUUACAUGCGUGAACCCUUAUCGCCAUAAGGGCCUGAGUCUGAGUGCAUACCCAUUCUGCAGAUAAGAAAACAGAGGCUCAGUAGCAUCAAACCCUCUGCCUAAGGUCACACAGAGGACAAUGGCAGAGCCAGGAUUGUAGUCCAGGUCUCCCUGACUCCAAAGCCCAGAAUGUUCGUAUACUCCUUUCCGGAGGCACUGAGACCUUCCCUGCUCUUUUGGCCUUCCCUGCUCCCUGCCCCUGCUCACCCCAGCCCCUCCUCUCGGCAUGCCUGCCCACCUUUCUAGAUCCUGCCAGUCUUUAGGGCUCAGCUUAACGCCACCUCUUUCCUGAUGCCAUCUGGGUCACAGCCCCCAUGCACCCUGCAGACCUCUCCUCUGCUGGAGGUUCUGACAUUUGCACAAGGCCUGCAUUCUUCUAGGCUCUCCCUGUUCCUUCCUUAGGAAAGUGAGCCUGGCCCUUACGGUGAGGUCCUCUUUCCCUGCUUCACACUCCAGAGCGGCAGGCCCCAACUUUUUGGCACCAGGGACCAGUUACAUGGAAGACAGUUUUUCCACAGUUUGGUGGGGGGGAUGGUUUGGGAUGAUUCAAGCUCAUUACAUGUAUUGUGCACUUCAUUUCUAUUAUUACUAUACUGAAAUACGUAAUGAAAUAAUUCUACAACUCACCAUCAUGUAGAAUCAGUGGGAGCCCUGAAUUUGUUUUCCUGCAACUAGGUGGUCCCAUCUGGGGGUGAUGGGAGACAGCAACAGAUCUUAGAUUCUCGUAAGGAAUGUGCCACCUAGAUCCCUCACAUGCACAGUUCACAAUAGGGUUGGAGCUGCUAUGAGAAUCCAACGUUACCACUAGGAGGUGGAGCUCAGGUGGUAAUGUGAGCGAUGGGGAGCAGCUGUAAAUAGAGAUGAAGCUUUGCUUCUCACCUCCCGCUGUGUAGCCCAGGACUGCUACUGGCCCAUGCCCGAGGGGUGGGGGAUUGCCUGCUCUACAGCAUCAUCACACAUGCCUUUGCCCCAUCUAAGUUUGUUGAGUGAGUAUUAUGUGCAGUCACUGAUUCAGGCUCUGAGGCUGCAGCCAUGAACAGAGUUCCCACCUCAAGGAGCGGAGGUCCCUGAUGGGCAGAGGGCUGCUGAAGCAGCAGCAGACACACAGAUGGUCCAGUCUCAGGUGACAGCUGUGAGCAAAUCAAGCAGGGAGGCUGGCCAUGCAGGAGAGGUAUUAUUUUGUGUAAGUGGUCAGGGAAGGGACCGUAGUGAGGCGAAGGUGCUGGUCUGGCCAGGGCCAGCGAAGGGACCGUAGUGAGGCGAAGGUGCCAGCCUGGCCAGGGUCAGGGAAGGGUGUGCCAGGCAGGGCACCCCAGGGUCACAGGCCAGUACAGGGAAGGGCUUGGUGUGCUGAGCAUGGCGGUGAGGUCAGCAUAGCCAGGGCUGAGGUGAGUGCGGGCAGCUGAGGUCUCAGAGGUCAGCAGGGCAGGGUAGAACCCAGGGAGGGCCUCGAGGGCCAUGAGCAGGUCUUGGCCUUUUAUCCUAGGUGUGUUGGGGGGUUGGGGAGGGUUUCAAGGAAGAGAGUGACAUGGUUUGAAGGACUGCAGGGGAAAAGUGACAGUGGAGGUGCCAGGAGGGCCUUGGCCCCGGCUCUCACCACCAUGCGGGAGUGGUGCGGGGGUGGGGGGUGUUGAAGCAUAGGUUUCACUGUUAUUCGGGUAAAGUGAGACCAACAGCUCAGAAGAUUGUCUUUAGCCGGGCUCAGUGGCUCAUGCCUAUAAUCCCAGCACUUUGAGGAACUGAGGUGGGUGGAUUGCUUGAGCCCAGGAGUUCAAGACCAUCCUAGGCAACAUAGCGAAACCCUGUCUCUACAAAAAAAUACACAAAGUUAGCUGGGCAUGAUAGCAGGUGCCUUUAGUCCCAGCUACUCAGGAGGCUAAGGUGGGAGGAUCACCUGAGCCCUGGAGGUUGAGGCUGCAGUGAGCCGAGAUGGUACCACUGCACUCCAGCCUGGGCAUCGGAGUGAAACCCUGUCUCAAAAAAAAAAAAAAAAAAAAAGAUUGCCUUUGGCACAAUGGUUUGUUACUCACAGUUCCCAAGAGGAAGAGACACACCGGGCUAUGUGGGGCCACUGGGAAGCACCGAGGGGAGGAGGCAGAGAGAGCCCUGGGGAAAUGGUGAGCCAGAGCCUUUGCUGUGGUUUUCACAGGAAGAAAUGGACAAACAGCAACUGGGCUAUGCAGGGCUAGAGCUGAGUUUGAAUAAUUUUAUGGGGCUCAGAGUGUCUGGGCUUCCAAGUUUCUGGCCCCUGGCCCGCGGGGCGACUGGGGAGCUGCAUUGCCCACUGCAAGUGCUCAGGAAGGGAGAUGGUCGGGGUGGGCUGGGAUUGGCCGUUUUGCACACAAAAGGUGUGCUCCAAGUGCCUCUAUAUCUAGGGGUUAGCUAGUCCCGAGAGGGCAGUCCUUCCCAGGCCAGCAAGAUGUCAAAGGAUCAUAAAAUACAGAAAAUAGUCAACCAAACUAAUACAAGAGUGGUCAAGAUGAGGGGGCAGAGCCGGGAGAAUGGUGGAUCCUAUGAGGCAGGAUCCACCAUUGGUCUCCUUACUAUGACCAAGUGAGAUCACCUUACUAUGGUCCCUUCCCUGGCCCUGGCCAGACCAGCACCUUUGCCUCACUAUGGUCCCUUCACUGGCCCUGGCCAGACCAGCACCUUUGCCUCACUAUGGUCCCUUCCCUGACCCUGGCCGGGCCGGUGCCUUUGCCUCACUAUGGUCCCUUCCCUGAUCACUUACACAAAAUAAUAAGACAGGACGGUGAGAGAGUGGCUUGGGAAGGGGCGGGGUGGCUGUUUGGUCAGGGUGGUCAGGUUGACUGGGAAGUGGCUGUCAGCCUGAAGGAGGAAGCUGGGGGCAGAGCCUUCCCGCAGAAGAGAUGGCAGGAGCAGGACGGCCGGCAAGAUGGGUUCCAGGGUGGGUGUGGGCGAGCAGCGCCCGGGUAGAGCUCAGUGACAUGGCCUGCAUGGGCUGGUCACUGCGACUGAAGAUGGAACCCUGCUGGGGAGGCGGCUUAGGUGGAGAGACAGACCCAAGAGCUCUGAGUCAUUAAUGCUGGGGGCGCCACCUGUCACGCAGUGGGUGCACCAGCCUGCGCUCAGGGCUGAGGUCUAGGAGUCAUCGGCAUAGAGAUGGCGUCUGAGGCCACGGACUGGAUAAGAACAGUUAUGGGAGAGGGCUAAGGACUGAGCCGCUGGGCACCCCGACAUUCAUGGCCAGAAAGAAGAGCAGGUGCAGCCAUGGAGGCAGGAUGAGGACCAGCGAGGAGUCCGUUGUUCUGGAGACCAAGUGAGAGUUUCAGGAGGAGCUGCCAACAAAGUCAACAGGGCCAGGAGAUUGGAUUAGGAAUGGCAUCUCCAGACGAGCAUCUGCAGAGGGUCUGACAGGGUGCACUCAACUUGACCCUCAAUGAAGCAGCAUGUUACCCACUCCCAAAAGAACCCCUUGCUUCUCGUAAGCAGAGCUGUAUUACCAAAAAAUUGUACUCAACUAUUGUAUUUUGAAUUCCAUCUCUAAAUAUUUGUGGAACCUCUUUUCUCUGUGUUACAUUAGUACCUAAUAUCCCUGUUUUUCCUCUUGGGCCCACAAAGUCUAAUAUUAUUUACCAUCUGGCCCUUUAUGGAAACACUUCAGUCAUCUUGAGCCAGAGCAUGAAAGUGGAGGAGGCAUUUUGAGAAUGGAUGAGGGGCCAUGGGACACAUAGGACCCAAUGCAAGGUACAGUGGCUUCCUGAGGAUCAGGGCAUGGCAGCCUUGGGGGUGACCUCGUAGGUAGAGGCGCUGGUAGGCCUGAAACAUUCUGGGAGUGGUCUUCGUGUGGCCUGGGGAAAGCUGGGGGUUCAGUUCCAGCCCAGCCUCCUCUUGGGGCUUGGUCUCUGAGGCAGAUGGGGAGGUCAUAGAGUGGAGUAGCUGGGGAGGAAUGAGGGUAUCUCACCAGAAAUAUGUCACUGUCCCCAGUAUCGCCCCUCAUGCCUGUUGCAGUUCUGAAAUGCUUCAGGCAAUGCUGUGAUCAAUGUCUUGUCUGUUUCUGAUCAAAAUCUGUCUGCUGCACUGCAUGCAGGCAGGGACCAGCUCUGCUCUCCCAGGUGCCUCUAAUACCAAGGACAUGGCUGGCGAUCCCUCAAUAUUUGUUGGAAGAACCAGUGAAGGAAUCAAUGAAUGAGCAAAUGAACAAUGUCCCACCCUCACCACAAUGCCUGGCCCAAUGACUCGUGCAUAGUAGAUGUUCAGAAAAUAUUUGCUGAGAAAAUUAAAUUUUGGCUUUUUUACACUUUCUAGCUCAGGUGUAUACGUUUGGUGCCUUUGAGGCCCUGGGCAAGGCCGAGCCCUGGGGUGGAGCAAUGUGCUUCUGAUGUGACUCAGGGCUCAGGGGACUCCUCACCGCAGCUAGCCCAUCACAGCUAGCCCCUGAAGUCUGCCUUCAGGGAGGCGCAGACAACUCACGCCAGCCAGCCCAGGGCAGGGGCAAUAUCCGUGCCAGCAAGUCUCGGCUGAGAGAGCCUUUUGGCAGAAAAAGCCAUGUUUAUUUCCCUUGUUUCCCCCUAGAAAUCCCAGUCAUCACCUAGACCCCUGAUGGGUUGAGCUGCAGAAAACCCUGGCCCAGGUGACCCCAAAAACCACUGGCCUUCCCUGAGGGAACUUGAAAGGGGGGCAUUUGAAAUGGAGGGGAAGGAGAACUAACCCUUGAAAUGUAGACAGGCUACUGAGGAUGGAAGCCUGGGGCUGGUGCUGAGGGUAUAUAAUGCAGCACUAUGGUUAAAAGCACUGACUCGGAAUGUCUGAGCUGCAUUCUGCUCUCUUUCUGGGGAUCUGAGCUGUGUGACCUCAGGCACGCAUGCAGCCUCUCUGAUCCUCAGUCUAUAUUUGUAAACUCUGAGACCCACUCAUGAGCAAGACAGACCUGUGGGUGCAGAAAGGGCCUGUGGUGUACCCAAGGUUAAGAGAUGGCUCUCCCAGGCUCUCUGCUGCGGAACUGGGCUUUGAAUCCAGCUCACCUGGCUCCACUCAGGGCUCACCCUCUUCCCACACUGUCCUUGUCGGUGGCAGAGUUUGGUAGAUGUAAAUCAUAGUCCCUUAUGGUGGGAAAACAGUCGAAGGGGGAUGGCUCAUGACCUGGGGGAGAUGGGCCAGGGUGCAGGGAGAGGCAGCUGGGAUUUCCCCACCCUGAUUCCCUGGCCCCCACCUUUCUCUGCCGUACCAGGAAGAGAAUUCCUCAGGGGGCGUUGGGCCUCCGACCCUGGGCAAGUCACAAGGCUCAGGGAGGCCGAGGUUUCAGCCUCAGCUGAGACUUGCCCGCUUCUAGAUCUGACCAGGACCUGACUUUAAAGGGGCCUUUCAAAGCAUGCAGAGCUGAGGGUACACCCCAGAAAGCCCCCAGGAUCCCCACUGGCCCUCAGGCCUGCCAAGGACCCUGCAUGAACCCGGCCUCCUCAUGCUGCUGGCAGCUCUCCACUGUGGGAGAGGAGGCCUUUCACAGUCUCUGUGUCCCAGACACAGUGCCCAGCACCUAUAGGGCAGUCAGCAGAGGCUGCCCAGGAGGGAGUAGACCAAGUCUCC
Molecule: long non-coding RNA, 8410 nt
Filed under: Homo sapiens (human)
Lineage: Eukaryota; Metazoa; Chordata; Mammalia; Primates; Hominidae
Description: HSALNT0169472
Source: RNAcentral